RNAcentral lists this transfer RNA (24 nucleotides) under Coccinia abyssinica. RNAcentral describes it as "partial tRNA-Leu". Lineage: Eukaryota; Viridiplantae; Streptophyta; Magnoliopsida; Cucurbitales; Cucurbitaceae. The record is from RNAcentral.
GACUUGACUUUCAAAAUCGUGAGG